GGGGAUGCCAGGCAUCGACAGCCGGGACUUUUCUUAAAUACUCAAAACGUGCUUAGCCGUCACGCAAAACCGACUAAAAAAACACAAAUGCCAAAACGGCAAAAGCGUUCACUUGGGCUUGCCCGAGUUACGCUCCAGUUAUGGCCUAAUAAAGGUUCCAUAGCCAUCGGUCGCGCCCAGUCUUCAUAAGCGACGGCCGGUGUCAUAAGCUCGCCUCGCUUCGGCGAAGCGGGUAUGGAGAUAGACGUUUAACCGCGCUUUCCGGAAAACGUCGAAACAAGCAGGAAGAUCGCUUCAAUCGCUUUUCGUUCGGUUAUUGAUGGUUGAGGUUAAAACAAAUAAAUCGAACUAUUUUUGUACAGGUAUUUAGGGAAACCGGUUGGACAUGGGUUCAACUCCCAUCAUCUCCACAG
RNAcentral lists this transfer-messenger RNA (413 nucleotides) under Patescibacteria group. RNAcentral's name for it is "UBA12465 sp000999715 Standard tmRNA". It matches the Rfam family "transfer-messenger RNA". Rfam says of the family: Bacterial tmRNA, also known as 10Sa RNA or SsrA, is named for its dual tRNA and mRNA-like properties. The record is from RNAcentral. RNAcentral also lists the same sequence under 1 other name.